UACGGAGGAUCCGAGCGUUAUCCGGAUUUAUUGGGUUUAAAGGGUGCGUAGGCGGUUUGAUAAGUUAGAGGUGAAAUGUCGGGGCUCAACCCCGAAACUGCCUCUAAUACUGUUGGACUAGAGAAUAGUUGCGGUAGGCGGAAUGUAUGGUGUGGCGGUGAAAUGCUUAGAGAUCAUACAGAACACCGAUCGCGAAGGCAGCUUACCAAACUAUAUCUGACGUUGAGGCACGAAAGCGUGGGUAGCAAACAGG
RNAcentral lists this ribosomal RNA (253 nucleotides) under uncultured bacterium. RNAcentral describes it as "partial 16S ribosomal RNA". It matches the Rfam family "Bacterial small subunit ribosomal RNA", at positions 524 to 776 of the family's 1533-position model. The record is from RNAcentral.